AACGAACGCUGGCGGCAUGCCUAACACAUGCAAGUCGAACGAGACCUUCGGGUCUAGUGGCGCACGGGUGCGUAACGCGUGGGAACCUGCCCUUAGGUUCGGAAUAACUCCCCGAAAGGGGUGCUAAUACCGGAUAAUGUCUUCGGACCAAAGAUUUAUCGCCUUUGGAUGGGCCCGCGUUGGAUUAGCUAGUUGGUAGGGUAAAAGCCUACCAAGGCGACGAUCCAUAGCUGGUCUGAGAGGAUGAUCAGCCACACUGGGACUGAGACACGGCCCAGACUCCUACGGGAGGCAGCAGUGGGGAAUAUUGGACAAUGCGCGAGAGCCUGAUCCAGCAAUGCCGCGUGAGUGAUGAAGGCCUUAGGGUUGUAAAGCUCUUUUACCCGGGAUGAUAAUGACAGUACCGGGAGAAUAAGCUCCGGCUAACUCCGUG
Molecule: ribosomal RNA, 433 nt
Filed under: uncultured bacterium
Lineage: Bacteria
Description: partial 16S ribosomal RNA
Rfam family: Bacterial small subunit ribosomal RNA
Source: RNAcentral